RNAcentral lists this ribosomal RNA (1388 nucleotides) under Aeropyrum pernix. RNAcentral's name for it is "bacterial SSU rRNA". It matches the Rfam family "Archaeal small subunit ribosomal RNA". The record is from RNAcentral. Lineage: Archaea; Thermoproteati; Thermoproteota; Thermoprotei; Acidilobales; Acidilobaceae.
UCCGGUUGAUCCUGCCGGACCCGACCGCUAUCGGGGUAGGGCUAAGCCAUGGGAGUCGAACGCCCCGCCGCUACGGGGCGUGGCGGACGGCUGAGUAACACGUGGCUAACCUACCCUCGGGACGGGGAUAACCCCUCGGGAAACUGGGGCUAAUCCCCGAUAGGCGGGGGGUGCCUGGAAGGGUCCUCCGCCGAAAGGGGCCGCGGGGGGUUAUCGCCCGCGGCCCGCCCGAGGAUGGGGCUGCAGCCCAUCACGGUAGUUGGCGGGGUAAUGGCCCGCCAAGCCUACGACGGGUAGGGGCCGUGAGAGCGGGAGCCCCCAGAUGGGCACUGAGACAAGGGCCCAGGCCCUGCGGGGCGCACCAGGCGCGAAAACUCCGCAAUGCGGGCAACCGUGACGGGGCUACCCCGAGUGCCCCCCUUGGGGGGGCUUUUCCCCGCUGUAAGUAGGCGGGGGAAUAAGCGGGGGGCAAGACUGGUGUCAGCCGCCGCGGUAAUACCAGCCCCGCGAGCGGUCGGGGUGCUUACUGGGCCUAAAGCGCCCGUAGCCGGCUCGACAAGUCCCCGCCUAAAGCCCCGGGCUCAACCCGGGGAGUGGCGGGGAUACUGUCGGGCUAGGGGGCGGGAGAGGCCGAGGGUACUCCCGGGGUAGGGGCGAAAUCCAUUAAUCCCGGGAGGACCACCAGUGGCGAAGGCGCUCGGCUGGAACGCGCCCGACGGUGAGGGGCGAAAGCCGGGGGAGCGAACCGGAUUAGAUACCCGGGUAGUCCCGGCUGUAAACGAUGCGGGCUAGGUGUUGGGCGGGCGUGCGAGCCCGCCCAGUGCCGCAGGGAAGCCGUUAAGCCCGCCGCCUGGGGAGUACGGCCGCAAGGCUGAAACUUAAAGGAAUUGGCGGGGGAGCACCACAAGGGGUGGAGCCUGCGGCUUAAUUGGAGUCAACGCCGGGAACCUCCACCGGGGGCGACAGCAGGAUGACGGCCAGGCUGAAGGCCUUGCCCGACGCGCUGAGGGGAGGUGCAUGGCCGUCGCCAGCUCGUGCCGUGAGGUGUCCUGUUAAGUCAGGCAACGAGCGAGACCCCCGCCCCUAGUUGCCAUCCCCGGGGCGACCCGGGGGGCACACUAGGGGGACUGCCGCCGCUAAGGCGGAGGAAGGAGGGGGCAACGGCAGGUCAGCAUGCCCCUAAACCCCCGGGCUGCACGCGGGCUACAAUGGCGGGGACAGCGGGUGCCGACCCCGAAAGGGGGAGGCAAUCCCUCAAACCCCGCCUCAGUUGGGAUCGAGGGCUGCAACUCGCCCUCGUGAACGUGGAAUCCCUAGUAACCGCGCGUCAUCAUCGCGCGGUGAAUACGUCCCUGCUCCUUGCACACACUGCCCGUCGCUCCCCCCGA